UACAACAGCCACCGUUUAUUAGAAUAUCGUUAUCCUACUUGGAUAACUGUGGCAAUUCUAGAGCUAAUACAUGCAAAAAAGCUCUGCCCGCAAGGAACGAGCGCAUUUAUUAGAAUAAAAACCAAUCAGGCUUCGGCCUGUAAUUUGGUGAAUCUGAAUAACUUUGCCAAUCGCACGGUCCUAGUACCGGCGAUGUAUCUUUCAAGUGUCUGGCUUAUCAACUUUCGAUGGUAGGUUAUACGCCUACCAUGGUAUUAACGGGUAACGGAGAAUAAGGGUUCGACUCCGGAGAGGGAGCCUGAGAAACGGCUACCACAUCCAAGGAAGGCAGCAGGCGCGCAAAUUACCCACUUCCAGAACGGAGAGGUAGUGACGAAAAAUAACGAGACAGUCCUCUUCGAGGUCUGUCAUCGGAAUGGGUACAAUUUAAAUCCUUUAACGAGGAUCUAUUGGAGGGCAAGUCUGGUGCCAGCAGCCGCGGUAAUUCCAGCUCCAAUAGCGUAUAUUAAAGUUGUUGCGGUUAAAACGCUCGUAGUUGGAUCUGCAGCCAAGGAGGAUGGUCCCCCGAAAGGGCGGUCACUGUCUCUCCUGGCUUAAAUUCCAGUCGUCUCUAGGUGUUCUUUACUGAGUGCCUAGAGUGGCUAGAACGUUUACUUUGAAAAAAUUAGAGUGCUUAAAGCAGGCGAAAUAGCCUGAAUAAAUUGCAUGGAAUAAUGGAAUAGGACCUCGAUUCUAUUUUGUUGGUUUUCAGAAUCCGAGGUAAUGAUUAAGAGGAACAGACGGGGGCAUUCGUAUUCCGGCGCUAGAGGUGAAAUUCUUGGACCGCCGGAAGACGGACGACUGCGAAAGCAUUUGCCAAGAAUGUUUUCAUUAAUCAAGAACGAAAGUAGAGU
RNAcentral lists this ribosomal RNA (893 nucleotides) under Neometadorylaimus coomansi. RNAcentral's name for it is "SSU rRNA". It matches the Rfam family "Eukaryotic small subunit ribosomal RNA", at positions 102 to 995 of the family's 1831-position model. The record is from RNAcentral. Lineage: Eukaryota; Metazoa; Nematoda; Enoplea; Dorylaimida; Tylencholaimidae.